GCAUUGUGGUCGCCCCGGCUGGGAUUCCUCCUCCACGUAGCUCUCCUCUUCACAUCACACAACGCCGGAGGCCUGUCGUGCAGCCGCCGCUAGAGACCUGUCGCGCAGCCACCACCGAAGGCCUGUCGCGCAGCCACCACCGAAGGCCUGUCGCGCAGCCGCCGCCGCCGGAGACCUGUCGCACAGCAGCUGCCGCCGGGCUUGGGCGCUGCUAGGGGGACGAGGACUCCAUAGGUGAUCCGCGGGGGAUGGGUCGUGGGCGCUGCCAGGGGACGAGGACUCCGUAGGCGAUCUGCGGGGGACGACAAGAAUUGCUCUGCUUUGCACGUGCUGCCAGUCUGCCUGUGCUACCAAAUUUCAACCUCGACAUCGACGCGCAUCACCAAUUUGUUGCGCCUGGUAAGGAUUACUCUAACCAUGUAGAUCCAUUUAUAUGAAAUAGAUACUACAAUUAGCAAUAUGGUGCACUGGUUGAGGAGAUAUGAGGAUAAUGGCGCUUGUUGUUCUAUGCAGUUGUUGUAUUCUGGGUACUCCGUAGAUAGAAAAGACAGAUUAUUUGAUAGUGGUAAGUGUGGCG
This 577-nucleotide long non-coding RNA is filed under the name Zea mays. Its description in RNAcentral is "long non-coding RNA NONZMAT003052". The record is from RNAcentral. Lineage: Eukaryota; Viridiplantae; Streptophyta; Magnoliopsida; Poales; Poaceae.